Toxorhynchites rutilus septentrionalis is the source of this 1899-nucleotide long non-coding RNA. RefSeq lists it as uncharacterized. Lineage: Eukaryota; Metazoa; Arthropoda; Insecta; Diptera; Culicidae. The transcript has 5 exons. The record is from RefSeq and is a predicted model, not a curated record.
GUUAUUGUUUAUAUUUUGUUUUGUGCUGAAGUGAGUUGUGAACGAUGAGUCCCGAAGGUUCUGGACAGAACAGGUUAUUGUAAAGCUUCCACUUUCGUUACGCAGCUAAACCGGACACCUGUACACGAAUACGGGCAUUUUUUUUGUGAACAUCACGAGACACCGAGCGGGCCGACCGAAACCAAGUGCCACAAUUAAUUUAAUAUCCUGUAAGGCUGCUUCGUCAGUGUGCCUUGCCUUGCAACUACAUCGCUGCUACUCAGAUUUUUACCGUGCCGCGUUUCUGGAACGCUGACCUGGAAGCAAAUCACUCCUCCGUUUCGCUUCUAGUCCGACAACAAACGCGUCCGCACAGGUAGGCGAAUCUAUUUUUAUCCACUGCCUCCCAGCACAGACACCAUCAACUUCCCGUACACCCACCACUGUCGAAAAAAAGGAGCUAUAAUCACCGGACCAGGUGGAACAUGUUUUCACUCGAAAACAUAUGCAUUUAAUUAAAUGCCAACGCUUGGGUUAAUCGGAGAAAAUGUAUCGUUAGUGCGAGUCGGUAUCGCUUAGUUAAAAGCGUUGGCUCACUUUUCAGACCACCCACCAGGUUUGGCUUAUUUGUCUCUAGUUGAACAACAUCUGUUUGAAGAUCACUGGCACACACACUGCAUCGGUCCGCUUUAAUGUCCACUGCAAACUGGGAGCAAUCUGUGCACUGGCAUCGGUCCCCAGCGGGUGCUUGUAAUUAUAAUCUGCUUCACACGAGACCAACACCACAGACGGGCACACCGCACGUUCCGAGAUUCCGAACUGCUGGACGGCUGGAGAACACGGUGGUCUCAACCGGCCGAUUUGUGAGUCGAUAAAAUCGGAGAGAACGAAGGAAAGGCUCGUCGUCUGGAGCACGUGUUUCCCCGAGCAGGACUGAACUUCAGAAGUACUUGGGUUUUGUGGAUGAACCAGCACUCUCCAAAGAACAACCAUAACAAACCCCCCCCCGCAACCUUAGCCCACCCGCGCCCGACAUGGUUUGCUGUGUGUGUUUGUACCACCGAUACUAACGCAAACGCUGCCAGAUGGGGAGCAAUGUCGGUUUAGUAUCAGCCAGUGAUAACUUGCAGAAGCCCUCGAAACAAUCACCAUGGCGACCUGAGUAUUCACACUCACAUCGCAUCGAACGAGAGAGAGAAAGAGAUCGGGAGAAUCGCGAAUGGUGAUAACGGGAGAAGUUUGAUAAAAAGCUAUAACCGGCGUCUGGCGAGCGUUUUCCCUAUGGCACUGGAGAAAAUGUCCUAGGGUUACCAACAGUUAAGUUACGAGGACACAAGUUAGUCGAACAUUGACAUAACAUUAAAACUGUAUAAACUGUAUGGUAACACGGGGUGAUUUAGAUCACUCCUUUAUCUAAAAAUUGCGGCUCAACUUGGAUUUAAAAAUGUCAUUUCCUUCUAUUGUUGAACCGUAUGUACCUGAAGUAAAAAAACAUUGGUAAAACUUCACAAGUAGAGGGAAACGGUAGCAUGAACACAACAAGCACGUUGAUCGUCAAAAAAUUAAAGUUCUGUUCGCCUGCAGAAGAGGAACAAUUUGAUGUAGCGAAACUAUGCCGCUGAAUUACAAAAAGGGAAUGGACAGACAACGUUGGAAGAAAGAGGAGCUUGAAAGAGCAACGUAGGCCAUCGAGAUCGGAUUUUCUUUGACCAAGCAUCAAAAGUGUUUGAAAAUGCUCGACCAACAGUGAAAAGAUUCAUGCAGAGUUCGAGAUGGUGUCAAUCCAACUUUUCUGGUCUGGAAUCUGGCCAAGACACCUAGUAUCGAUCCCAAAACAUUCUUAUUGAUUGUAACAUUAUCCAAAAAUACUUUACAUAAACAUAAGUAUGUUUUUUUCGAUGAAACACACACUGGACUAAA